UCUUAGCACCUAAUCCAUCAAUCAAUACCGUUUUUUGCCUCCGAUAAGAUCCAUUAAUGACUAUUAAAGAGAGUAAUGACAAUUUAGCUACAGCACUUUUAUUAUUAUUAAUGACAACUUAGCAUACGGCGCUAAGGCCAUAUCAGACACACAUACAGACCAAAAACAUCUCUCUUAAUCAUCUCCAAUAAUAAUACCAUAAAAACGUAUCAUACGGCUGCAGAUUUGACUUUGACCCCAUCUCGACCUUUAAGUUCAACGAGAUCCAAUGGACAAUAGUUUCUGAUGGCCGUUAACUCAUACGGUGGCGCAUCACGGGCCAGCCACUGCUCGACAGUGAACUGCUGCUGCGAGCACGGCGUGUGGACACCAGUGAUGGUUACCUCAACGUAGUUACAGUACCAACCAUGAUGUGGUCCGCUUCCAUCAGAGGUCAAGUUCAAGGCGCAGACCGGAGUGCUCAGGCAAGGUCCCCUCCCGCUGAAAAUGUCGAGAUUGCCCCUCUCGAAGUAGUUGUAGUUAAGGCCCAUCAGGCCGCCCCAGGACUCCAGGUUCGGGAUCUCCACCCCCUCGCCGUAGGCGUCGUAGAACCUGACGCUAAUGAUGGAGUCCGUUCCUCCCUUGAAGAUCGACCCGGUCCUUAUGUACACCGUAUACACGCAAUCUUCAUCGGCAAAAACGGCGACUGUGGAGACGGCGAGGACGAGGAGGAGAAAAGAGAGACAGCGAGUGUUGAAUGCCAUGUUUGGCUGUGGAAAUGCGAAACUGGGGGUAGACUGCGAGGAGAGAGACUGAAA
RNAcentral lists this unclassified non-coding RNA (797 nucleotides) under Hevea brasiliensis (rubber tree). The record is from RNAcentral. Lineage: Eukaryota; Viridiplantae; Streptophyta; Magnoliopsida; Malpighiales; Euphorbiaceae.